This 233-nucleotide unclassified non-coding RNA is filed under the name uncultured fungus. RNAcentral's name for it is "partial contains 5.8S ribosomal RNA, internal transcribed spacer 2, and large subunit ribosomal RNA". The record is from RNAcentral. Lineage: Eukaryota; Fungi.
AACGCACAUUGCGCCCCCCGGCAUUCCGAGGGGCAUGCCUGUUCGAGCGUCAGAACACCCCUCAAGCCUGGCUUGGUCUUGGGGCUCGCCGGCUCGGCGGCCCCUAAACGCAGUGGCGGUGCUGUUGUGCUCUCCGCGUAGUCAUGUAUCUCGCGACAGGGCGGCGACGGCACCCGCCAGAACCCCAAUUUUUGGAUGACCUCGGAUCAGGUAGGGAUACCCGCUGAACUUAA